CCUACGGGUGGCAGCAGUGGGGGAUAUUGCACAAUGGGGGAAACCCUGAUGCAGCGACGCCGCGUGUGGGAAGACGGUCUUCUGGAUUGUAAACCACUGUCCCCAGGGACGAAAAUGACGGUACCUGGGGAGGAAGCUCCGGCUAACUACGUGCCAGCAGCCGCGGAAAUACGUAGGGAGCAAGCGUUGUCCGGAAUUACUGGGUGUAAAGGGAGCGUAGGCGGGGAUGCAAGUGGGGUGUCAAAACUACCGGCUCAACCGAUAGUCGCACUCAAAACUGCAGCUCUUGAGUGAGGUAGAGGCAGGCGGAAUUCCUAGUGUAGCGGUGAAAUGCGUAGAUAUUAGGAAGAACACCAGUGGCGAAGGCAGCCUGCUGGGCUUUUACUGACGCUGAGGCUCGAAAGUGUGGGGAGCAAACAGGAUUAGAUACCCGAGUAGUC
This 440-nucleotide ribosomal RNA is filed under the name uncultured bacterium. Its description in RNAcentral is "partial 16S ribosomal RNA". It matches the Rfam family "Bacterial small subunit ribosomal RNA", at positions 338 to 795 of the family's 1533-position model. The record is from RNAcentral.